Mirounga angustirostris (Northern elephant seal) is the source of this 8717-nucleotide long non-coding RNA. RefSeq lists it as uncharacterized. Lineage: Eukaryota; Metazoa; Chordata; Mammalia; Carnivora; Phocidae. The record is from RefSeq and is a predicted model, not a curated record. The transcript is spliced from 5 exons.
CAAGGUGGUUGCUUGUUUGAAAAAGGUGAAUUGGGGCACAAGAGAAAUAGCCAGUUGACUACAACUCCCGGCACCCCCAGUAAGCUGGAAUGACGCACUUCCGGCAGCUGGCCUGUGGCGUGGUGGAGUCUUGGCCACCGCCUGGAACAGGGCAAGAGGGUCGUUAACCUUCUGGCGCCGCUCGGUCCUGUUCCGCCCAACAGGGUCGCUUUUCUUUGGCUCUACCCUUGGAAAGGAGGCUGUUGAGUUAACUUUAUGUCUUCCUGGCCACCUAGGCAGCACUGUCUGCCCUGGAGAUUACUGGACGGCACUUUCGUAAUUUUGCAAGUUUGGGAGAUGAGAGGGUCGAGGCCGUCCUUAGUGAUCACGAUUCCUCCCCACAGCCGUCCCCAGCUGUUGUUUGCGUCAGGGUGUGAUGACGCUGCUCUUCCGGUUACAGAGCACGAUAGUUUUGCUGGGAUUCGAGAGGCCAUUUGCUGUGGCCAAGGAUUGUGUAUACUAAGGAUUAUCAAACCAUGGUUUGCCAAAGCAGCACCUGGUUGGGAGGGGGAGGUAGGGAGGGGCUUUUAAAAAAUACAGAUUACUGGUCUAGAAAUUGAUUCACUAGAUGAUUCUGAGGCAUCUUAUGAGCAACAGUGGUGUGCGAGAAUCAGGCAAGCUCUUGACCUUCACCUUACCCUGAGUUUAAAGUACUUUUGGACUUCCAAAGCUGAACAUGGGCUCCUUGUUCGUUUUGUAAUUGAAGUGGUUCUGUAAAUCCUCUCCAGCUGAAAAAGGCAUGGUUUUUUAGUGGGCUGUGUAACCUAUUUAAUGGGCGCUCAGUAUAUGCGAGGCACUCUGUACCUAAUGAAUAUUAUACUAUUUAAUCCUCAUAGCAACUCUUUAAAAGGUGGGCACUAUUAUUCCCAGUUUGCAGAUGAGGGAGUAAGUUGCACAAGGAUAGUAAGGAAUGGGCAGGGCCUAAGCAGUGCAGAAAAUGUACAGUUAAAAAAAAAAAACAGUUUGAAUUGGUGUUAAAAGCACUAUAUGUGGAGUCAGGAUAUUGUUUUUCCAACCUACUGUGCUACUUACAGGUUGUAUGUCUUUAGGCAGAUCUUACCCGUUUAGGUCCUCAGUUUAUUCACUUGUAAAAUGCUGGGGUUAGGGUAACAGUCCUUCUGAACGGGAGUUACUCGUCAGAAGCCCCUGGGAAACUUUAUAAAAAUAAAGAUUUGGAGGUCCUACCCCAGAGAUUCUGAUUCAGAAGAACUAGUGUGAAGCCUAGAAUUUUUUUUCUAAGGUGCUGCCCAAGUGAUUCUUAAUUAUCAGCCCAGUUUGAGAAUCACUGCUGGAUCUGUAAAUAGUGAACCAGUUCUUAGUAUUUGGUGAUUUUGAUUAAGACGGUGAUUAUUUGUUAGAGAAAGGACUCUUGAUAUUUCUUUGUUCUUCAGAGUUACCAUGCCAUUGUUAAGGUGUUUAAAUUAUACUGUCAAAGUUCACCAUGUAGUGAAAUCCCAUGCAAUCUUUUUCUAAAGUGAGGACUAGUUAAAUUAAGAAGAAGAAUCCCCUAUCUUUAUUUACAAAUCUGGGUUUUUAUUUAUUGGUUUUGCUUCUGUUAAGGUAUAAUUAGUGGGAGGUGUAGACUCUAUAGAACACAGACUUUAGUAACAUAUAGAUGUAUGUAAUUUUCGAAUCUGUCACUUAAUAGUUACCUGUACUUAUUUAACUGAAGCUCAUCUAUGAAAUGGGAUAAUAAGAUACAUGUGUGAAAAACUGUUAAUAGCAUAUGGAACAUAGAUGUCCCAUAGCAGUAGCUAUUAUUAUAGUUUUUAAAUGGUGAAAAGCCAUUUAGAAAUUAGUAAGCACCAAUGAUUUUAAAUAAUACUCAGCAAAUACUGAAAUGGAAUUUGACUUGAGAAUCAGCUUCAAGGUAGAGAUAAAAAAAAAAGAUCAUUUUUAUUGGUUAAACCUUCUAUGUAGGGAUACCAUCCUUCAGGUCCUUGCUAUUAUUGUUUGGCCAAAGACCUGAAAGUUUUCAAAGACUGCUUGAAUCUGAAUCACCUGGGGGCAUUUGUUGAAAGUGCAGAUUCCUAGAUCAUGUCUACACCUACUGAAUCUGAAUCUUUUGCACAUUAAAGGUUUUAAGAACUACUGAGUGUCCAUAGGGCAUGUGGUACUUUUUUUUUUUAGGCCACAGACAGGCUAUCUCCAUAAUUCCUUUUGGUGAUGUCCUUAGAGCUACACUAAUGGAUGAAAUCAAUCCUAGGGACUUUUGCCCUUAAGCACCUUACUUGCCCUUCUCUACCACUGCCAAUAGCAUUGGCUGAGUAGAUUUCUGUCACCAUUAAUGUCCUUUUUAUGCUCCUUGUUCUGUUUUCCUUUGUGUUGCAGUAAGCAGAAUGAAGAUCAAAAGAAAUUCAGAAAAGGGAGCAAAGAAGAAGUGAUAGUAAACAAGUGCUAGAAAUACAAGGCAGACACAGGAUUUGGGAAAAGUUUGGGAUAGAUGGAAUCAAUCAUUCAGAAUCUAUCAUUCGAUAAAAGUAUCUGCUGAGUAGCAGGCAUUGUUCUAGGUUUUGGGGAUUUCAGCAAGGAAUAUCUGCUUUCCCAAGGAAUUUACCUGCAUGUGUGUGCAUGGGUGUGUGUGUGUGUGUGUGUGUAUUUUGGGAUGGAGGAGGUUACAUAGUAUAAAUCAGUGAGCAACAUAAUUUCAGAUAGAGAUAUGUUUAUGAAGACAAAACAGGAUGAUAGGAUGCUGUGAUAUUUGUGUGUGUAUAUGGUGUGUUACUUUAAACUGGGUAGUCAGAGGUGACCAGAAGAUAACAUUUGAGCUGCUCCUGCAUAUUAAGGAGUCAGUUAUGGAAAAAUUUGGAGUCAGAGCAUUCCAAGCCUUAAGGUUGUUAAACAGGAUAUAAGAUACUGUGACUUUGACACAGUGGGAAGGAGCUUGGUAUCAUUGGGGACGAGAAUGAAGCCUGUGAGGUUAGACCACAUAGUGACCUUCAGAGUUCCUGGAGAUGAAUUUGGGGAGGUAGGCAAGGGCCAUAUUUUAUAGGCCUUAUAGGCCAUUGUUAUAGGGGUGUGAUGGGGAGUUGAGGGCCAUGGUGGGGAGGUGGACUUUAUUACAAAUACAGUGAGAAGCUUUUGGAGAACUUUGGGAAGGAGAAUGACUUACCUGUUUUACACUUCUUAGAGAUUGGUGGGGGAAGAGUGUAACAGCAAAGAAUCCCUGUUUAGAGGCAGUAAUCCAGGGAAAAGACGAGAGAACUAGUGUAAAGAUUAGGAAUCUAUUUUGUAGGUGGAUCUGACAGGGCUUGCUAAUGAACCAUUGCUUUGACAAUCUAUUUCUUAAAGUAUAUUCUCUCCACAUUUUCUUUUUUAUGAGUUGGCAGCGAUGUAGUGAUAGGUAACACUGACAAAGCUUGAAUCGUACCUCUUGCCCACAUCUAAUUAUUAAAUUUAGGAAUGGGCUCAGCACACAGAAGCAUGAAUAAAGCUGAUUUUUUUUUAAAUAUUUGCUUAAUUAACCAGGAACCAAGAAGAACUGGAAAAAGCCCCAAACACAGACAUACUGGCAGACACACACACACACGCACACACACCUCCACACCCCACCCCCCUUAACUUUACCUCAAUUCUCUGAUUUCUUCAUUCUUUGGGAAUAGGCUUAUAUUUUGUUUUUUUUCCUUUUUCCCUUGGCCCUCCUCUUUAUGAGGAAUUAUUUUCCUUAAUUCAUGAGAUAGAUUACCUUCUGACUUUUUCUCAAAUCCUUCUUCAGAAUUAAUUUUGUCCAAUUCUCUGAUCACACUGGGGCCCAGUCAAAAGAGUAAAAAAGUAUUGACAUUCUCAAAUGCUCUGAGUUCCUAGCCUGAGGUUGUUUGUUUGUUUAGAGGUGGGCAGGAAGGUUUCUUUUUUCCCAGUAGCUCUUGUCACCUUACUCCUAUAUCUGUCUUUUAUGUUACUAUAGAACAUGGUAACUAAAUUGCUAAAGAAUUUUUCCUACUUUUCAGCUAACUUACUUAUACUUAGUUAUAUUUGAAAUAUUUUGGGUUUAUAUUGUAGCUUUCCUUUCAAUUCUUAGGAAAUGUUAACAUAUUUCUCAUCUGUUAUCAUGAAUAAAUGUCAAGUUGUAAGAAAUACUUUCGAAGGCAGAAGAGCUGGUUCUAGACAUGGCUUUCACACUAACCAGCUGUGUGUUCUUGAGCAAAUCAUUUGACUUCCCUAGAUCCUAGUUUCUUAGUGGUUCAGGGACAUAUGAUCUCUGAGAUUCCUUUCAGCAUCUCAUUAGCUCCACAUGGAUGAUGGAGAUAGUUAAAAAGAACAAUUCAGACAAAACCAUGUAUUUUCUUUCAUCUCACUUAUCUAAAAUUAUUUUUAGCUCUGUCCAUCUCUUAGCUCUGUCCAUCUCUACUACCAUCUUUUUUUUAAAGAUUGUAUUUAUUUUUGCAAGAAGUAGCGAGUGCACCAGCUGGAGGGGGGGAGGGCACAGGGAGAAGCAGAUUCCCUGCUGAACAAGGAGACCUAUGCGGAACUUGAUCCCAGGAUCCUGAGAUCAUGAGCCAAAGGGAGACACUUCACCCACCUACUGAGCCACCCAGGCGCCCUCUCUUACCACCUUAAAAGUAACUCUGCUCCACUCUAUUCUGAUUUAACUUUGUGUGUUUAUCUGAAAUCAAAUCAUUUUGGUGUAUGGGGUGUUCAGUUAAAUAUGCUAUGCUUAGGAAUUUUUAGUGUUCAGGUUAGACUUCAGGUAUGCACAUUGCACCAAUAAAUUGUGGAGGUUGUGGUAUGUGGUGUAAGCUAUAGGACAUUGGUUUCGAACUGUGUGAUUUCUGUAGGCCAGUGCACGUGGCAUUGAGACGGAAAAGGACUUAAAACUGGUUCAUUUUUUAGUUUCCUUGCCAGUGUCUUGUUUUAGGCAAUGGGAGGCAAGGGAGAAAGAAAUGAAAAAUUAGGCGCAUGCAAGAAGGAGCUUGAGGGGGAAAAAUGUGUGGCUUUUGCAAUGAAAGAGAAUGAAUGAAGAGAAGCUUUUGCGGAGCUCAGUCUGAAGCACUGCCAAAGUCCAGAAAAGACCUGUAUGUUCAUUGCUGCUGCCGGCCUGAAAAAUGACUGCGAAAGGGAAAGGUUCCAGAGUCCUGUGUCCCUACAGGGAGCAGAUGCCGCAUCCCAAGAUCAAGGGAGGUGAAAAUGGGAAAAGCUCUUUAGGAGAAAGCAUGAAGGAUGACAGUCUAAUCUGAAAGUGGACCAGCAGCAAUCAAGGAUGAAAGAAGAACUGAUUGAAUACCAGUUCUGGCUCUGGUUCUGACAACCCACUCUGUGACUUUGGGUCCUUGUGGAAGAGGACACUGAAGAAAAUAUCCUCGGGAAUUGAGAGCUGUGUCACUUGCCUCUUCAUUUCCUGAUCUCUUCCUAAAGUAAAGAGGCUAAAAUACAUCACAGAUCACAGCUGGAUUUGGACAACAGGCAUCUCCUUUGCAGGGACUUGCACAGAGCCUGAUUUAUUUAUGUAAACAUUUUGCUGUUCACCAGGUAAGAUUAUGGAUUCCUUGACUAGUUUCUCAUCUUCUACCUUCUAGUGGUUAAUCCAACAUGUUUUCAAAAGUCCAACUAAACAUCAAAAUAAAAUAAAAUAUUCUUGUUUCACAGUUUUUAUUUUCAGGCUGUAUAGCUUAAUAUUAUGCAUGGACCUCACCAUUUUUUUAGGUUCCUUGUCUCAAAACAGACUAAAUGGUUCCUCUUUUUUAGUUUUGACUUACACAUAUUAUAUAAGCAGUUGUCUUAACAUUAUACCUGACAAGUUUCACAUUUGUCCCUUUUGGCCUAAUUUUUCCAAUCUAGCAUUAUGUUUUUACCUUUCUUCAGUCAACUCAGAUUUUCCAACACGGUUUCACAUAAAGAUAAUGUUUUCUUAUUGUAAUAGUAACAAGAGUACCUUAGUACUGAUGGCCAUAUGAGUGUUCACCUUUGAAUAAUGUGCUUUAGCCUUUUUUUCCCUCAAAAUAUAGGGAUCUAUGAAAAUGAUCCCAAUCCUGCUUUCAGAUAUCGAGUUUCCUUGUUCCCCUUAAGGUUUGGUUUUCUUGUUUUUUACAGUUACCAGACGUUUACUGUGGUGUUUCCAACUCUUAAUAGAUAUGCAUGGUUUCAUAGAAUGGUAAUUACAGACAAGGUGAAACACUGAAUAAAAGUUUAAAUUGUUCCGAAGGAAUACAAUUCUUACUGGAUUUUAGGAAAUCUAGGAAAAAAAUCCUUAAUGAAUCUGAAUUUGUUAUCUUAAAUUACCACUUAUUCUUUAUUGUGAGCUAUCCUGGCCCUAUUUAUUCAGACAGACAUUUAUAAACUACUACUGACAGACAAAGGUGAAUAGAAAUCCAGGGACUGAAUAUGAAAACUGACCCAAACUAAGUGAACCCCUCUUGACCAUAUCCAGGAAUAUGCCAUACAAUUCUCCUUAGAUUAUAUUUCUCUAAACACACGCAGUUUAGAGAAACAUGCUACAGGAAUUAUGGGGUGUUGUCAGCAAACAAUCAUGAAAUACCAUAGACCAGAACAAGUGGUCUGUUACUUUCUUGAAACUCUAUAGAUUUUGCAGCAAUUCCCUAAAUUAUAUUACUGAUAGAAAGUACUUUAAUAAGUUGUUGACCAAAGAAACUUCAUAUAAACAUUUCACAAGACAACAUUAGACGGAAAUAUAUUUAUUUUAAGAUUUUGAACCUGCACAAUUUAGUUCCUUGAAAAACUUCUGCCUCAGGCUAUGUAUCUUACUGGGGUUGAUGAAUAUGGUCACCAAACCGUAUGAGGUCAAGUGGCCAAGCCCCAGAGUUCAGCCAGAGGGUGGGAAUCCAAGAUGGUGCCACCUGGGCCAUUUCCUCACCGUGAGGGGCAGAGAUGGGAGGGGAAUUCAUGUAUCGGGUUAUACAUUUCCUGAGGACAAAGACUGCAUUUAAUUAACAUAUUCUUAGCAGAAUUCAGAAUGAUACCAUGACCAUCUUAACACACCUUAGUGACGGUGGGGCUUAUUCUUUUUGCACUCUUUCAAGCAAAGCAUUUUCUGGAAUACACUCCCAGAAGGAAUGGUCAUUGGGUAUUUUCUGGGGAAGUGAGGACAGAGAUGCUGCUUUAAUGUAUUCUUUGCCCAAGUGAUAGAGGAAUGGAUUCUGAAUUGCUUUCCUCUUUCUAUUAGAAAAGGGGGGUGGGGAUAAACAGUUUUAUUUUAGGUUUUGGAGCAUCAGGUAUGAAGUAUUAAAAUGAACUGUCAAAGAAAUAAGCCAAUCUAAGAAUCUGUGAUUAGUGAUGGCACUGUCACUUCUCCUCCUCUUCCUUCCCGGGUCCGGGGUCCACCUCAGGCAGCAUGUCCGACCCUGGCUGCAGACACUGACCAAGACGAGAGCACUGUUGCUCCAUUUGUGUUCCUGCCCCAGAACAGCUUUACUGGAAGCUGGAAAGGGUCCCAGGAGGAGACUGCCUCUGCCUCACAUCUUCAGCUGGUCCUUUGGGUCCCACAGGGAAGCUGGGCACUCUCCUGGGUCCUUGUACUGGUUCACCGUGUGGUCUGGGAAGGCUGCUCAAAGGGCCAGCAGCUGACGCUGGGAGAACUGAGCCCAGCUGUGACAACUUUGACUUCCCGAGAGACUUUUAUCUAAUUAGUCCUUAUACUACCUUUGUAAGAGAGGGCAAGUGCCAGAAAGUAUCACCAUGGAAAUGAGCACGUUAAUCGUUAAUCACGGUGGAGACCUUGGAAACUGAGGUUUCAGUGACCACACCUCAUCAGAGCUGGGUGUGGUUUGGGAGCUAGCACCCUAGCGCACAUUUGGGAGGGGUACACCUUAGCCUAACAGCUCUCCUCGUCCCGCAGAUGAACUCGGUUGUGCUACAUCUGUGGUCUGCUCUCCCGUUCACCUUCCUCCUGCCUCAGUGACCUCAUACCCACCCACCCACACACCCAGAAAUGCUUGCUUGCUUUCACUCUUAACUCAACAUUUGGCACAUUGCUUUUAGAAACCCUCUUCCAUUCUUCUCAUUUUGGGUUUAGUGCCACCAUUCUGUCCUGACCUUGAGUCUUUGCUCCUCCUGGGUCCCCUCAGUGCUUCCUAUUCUCUCCUUGACCCUUAAAUGGUACUAUUUGGUUCGGAGGGCCUUCCUUGCUCUCUCCUGGGGAAUGUCCAUCUUCUUUACCUCUUCUUCCUUGGCCUAACGUGUUUAAUCCUUAGCCUUCCUCCAGUCAUAUUUCAGUGUUCCCCAAACUCCAGUUCUUAUGCAGGGGCCCCCUGGUUUUUAGGAAUGAAUCCUGUGAGAAUAUAAUUUGCUAGGUCAUUCUGCCAGCUUUUAUUAAAUAACUGAUUUGUGGGAGGGGCGCCUGGUGGCUCAGUCGUUAAGCGUCUGCCUUCGGCUCAGGUCAUGAUCCCAGGGUCCUGGGAUCAAGCCCCGCAUUGGGCUCCUUGCUCUGUGGGAAGCCUGCUUCUCCCUCUCCCACUCCCUCUGCUUGUGUUCCCUCUCUCACUGUAUCUAUCUCUGUCAAAUGAAUAAAUAAAAUCUUUUAAAAAAAUAAAAAUAACCGAUUUGUGGGAAAGAAUACAGUACUCAACUCUGUGGGGCAAUAGGGGACAUACAUCUGUCCUGGUGGGGAGAUUAUAAUCUGCCUCAAGCCAGGACAUGCAGGGGCUAGAAUGAAAACAACAGCAGGCUAUGGGGAUUUGUAUAGCAGCUGUUAUAUGUUUGUAAAAACAGGUAGGGGCUCACGAAAU